This 491-nucleotide ribosomal RNA is filed under the name uncultured bacterium. RNAcentral's name for it is "bacterial SSU rRNA". It matches the Rfam family "Bacterial small subunit ribosomal RNA", at positions 47 to 531 of the family's 1533-position model. The record is from RNAcentral.
CCUAACACAUGCAAGUCGAACGGCAGCAUAGGAGCUUGCUCCUGAUGGCGAGUGGCGAACGGGUGAGUAAUAUAUCGGAACGUGCCCUAGAGUGGGGGAUAACUAGUCGAAAGACUAGCUAAUACCGCAUACGAUCUACGGAUGAAAGUGGGGGAUCGCAAGACCUCAUGCUCCUGGAGCGGCCGAUAUCUGAUUAGCUAGUUGGUGGGGUAAAAGCCUACCAAGGCGACGAUCAGUAGCUGGUCUGAGAGGACGACCAGCCACACUGGGACUGAGACACGGCCCAGACUCCUACGGGAGGCAGCAGUGGGGAAUUUUGGACAAUGGGGGCAACCCUGAUCCAGCAAUGCCGCGUGAGUGAAGAAGGCCUUCGGGUUGUAAAGCUCUUUUGUCAGGGAAGAAACGGUAGUAGCUAAUAUCUAUUACUAAUGACGGUACCUGAAGAAUAAGCACCGGCUAACUACGUGCCAGCAGCCGCGGUAAUACGUAGG